GGCUUUAUAGUCAAUGUAAUAUGAUGUUAGACUGCAAUUCUAAAGUAGAGGAACAUAUAAUCCUCUAAAGCUU
This 73-nucleotide transfer RNA is filed under the name Coleoptera sp. 3 KM-2017. RNAcentral describes it as "tRNA-Cys". Lineage: Eukaryota; Metazoa; Arthropoda; Insecta; Coleoptera. The record is from RNAcentral.